CCACACACACACACACACACACCGCAAGCAGCGGCGACCAGGGCAGGAGCCCACUCCCCGCCACCUGCAGGCGUCGGACCCGAAGUCCACGAGCCGGAACUCAGAGCAGGAGCCGAAGGACCCCAGCGCAGAAUCCGUGGAGGCGCACGGCUUCAUCCACCGCGCUCCCAGAUGGGGUCCCAGCCCAGAUCCGGCCACGAAGACACAGGCAACCCCGGCCUGGGUUUCCUGUUCCAUGAGCUCCAGGAAGGCGACAAUGCGAAGGCUGUAGGGACUUUGGUGACUGAAGCUGGAGGAGACGAGGAGAAGAAAAUACGGUCCAAACCCGAGCAGGGAGCUGGAGCAGAAGAAGAAAGUCACUUCUGUGCGGGAGCUGCCGACCCCACGAUCAAGGAUAACCAGAAGCGCGGCGGUGGCGACCAGGAGCCCUCGCAGCAGCAGCCUGAGGCUUCCAGCCCAGGACUCCUCCGCGGAGGAGCCACAACCCCAAUAUUAGCGGCGUCUCUUCAGCCCCAGUGCGUUCAGCAGGUUGCACCUGAAGGAGCUAGACAGCAUUUUCCCACGCUCUGAAUAUCUCGAC
Molecule: long non-coding RNA, 580 nt
Filed under: Homo sapiens (human)
Lineage: Eukaryota; Metazoa; Chordata; Mammalia; Primates; Hominidae
Description: non-protein coding lnc-AKAP14-1:3
Source: RNAcentral